GACGUAGGGGGCGAGCGUUGUCCGGAUUUAUUGGGCGUAAAGCGUGCGUAGGCGGCUGCGCAAGUCGGGUGUGAAACCCCGGGGCUCAACCCCGGAACUGCAUCCGAUACUGCGUGGCUAGAGUAUGGGAGAGGAAAGCGGAAUUUCUGGUGUAGCAGUGAAAUGCGUAGAUAUCAGAAGGAACAUCAGUGGCGAAGGCGGCUUUCUGGACCAAUACUGACGAUCAGGUGCGAAAGCGUGGGGAGCAAACAGG
Molecule: ribosomal RNA, 253 nt
Filed under: uncultured bacterium
Lineage: Bacteria
Description: partial 16S ribosomal RNA
Rfam family: Bacterial small subunit ribosomal RNA
Source: RNAcentral